RNAcentral lists this ribosomal RNA (536 nucleotides) under uncultured bacterium. Its description in RNAcentral is "bacterial SSU rRNA". It matches the Rfam family "Bacterial small subunit ribosomal RNA", at positions 777 to 1305 of the family's 1533-position model. The record is from RNAcentral.
AAUAGAUACCCUGGUAGUCCACGCCGUAAACGUUGGGCGCUAGAUGUGGGGACCUUUCCACGGUUUCCGUGUCGUAGCUAACGCAUUAAGCGCCCCGCCUGGGGAGUACGGCCGCAAGGCUAAAACUCAAAGGAAUUGACGGGGGGCCCGCACAAGCGGCGGAGCAUGCGGAUUAAUUCGAUGCAACGCGAAGAACCUUACCAAGGCUUGACAUACACGAGAACGGGCCAGAAAUGGUCAACUCUUUGGACACUCGUGAACAGGUGGUGCAUGGUUGUCGUCAGCUCGUGUCGUGAGAUGUUGGGUUAAGUCCCGCAACGAGCGCAACCCUCGUCGCAUGUUGCCAGCACGUUAUGGUGGGGACUCAUGUGAGACUGCCGGGGUCAACUCGGAGGAAGGUGGGGAUGACGUCAAAUCAUCAUGCCCCUUAUGUCUUGGGCUUCACGCAUGCUACAAUGGCCGAUACAAAGGGCUGCGAUGUCGUAAGGCGGAGCGAACUACCGAAAACGCCGGUCUCGUAGGUUCGGUAUUGAGGU